RNAcentral lists this ribosomal RNA (508 nucleotides) under uncultured bacterium. RNAcentral describes it as "partial 16S ribosomal RNA". It matches the Rfam family "Bacterial small subunit ribosomal RNA", at positions 28 to 507 of the family's 1533-position model. The record is from RNAcentral.
GACGAACGCUGGCGGCGUGCCUAAUACAUGCAAGUCGAACGCUUCUUUCCUCCCGAGUGCUUGCCCUCAAUUGGAAAGAGGAGUGGCGGACGGGUGAGUAACACGUGGGUAACCUACCCAUCAGAGGGGGAUAACACUUGGAAACAGGUGCUAAUACCGCAUAACAGUUUAUGCCGCAUGGCAUAAGAGUGAAAGGCGCUUUCGGGUGUCGCUGAUGGCUGGACCCGCGGUGCAUUAGCUAGUUGGUGAGGUAACGGCUCACCAAGGCCACGAUGCAUAGCCGACCUGAGAGGGUGAUCGGCCACACUGGGACUGAGACACGGCCCAGACUCCUACGGGAGGCAGCAGUAGGGAAUCUUCGGCAAUGGACGAAAGUCUGACCGAGCAACGCCGCGUGAGUGAAGAAGGUUUUCGGAUCGUAAAACUCUGUUGUUAGAGAAGAACAAGGACGUUAGUAACUGAACGUCCCCUGACGGUAUCUAACCAGAAAGCCACGGCUAACUACGUG